UUCACUUUUAGUGGGAUCGUGUUUGUUUGAAAGUGCCUGAGGAGGAGGAAGCUGCUCCCAAAAAGAUAGGCAAGAAUCCUUGAAUAAAGUACUAGAAAAGAGUGGAAGCAGGGAAAGUUUACGUUAUUCCAUGCAGAAGAAACAGGCUCACAACAACAAUGGCAUCUCCUCCAAGAAGAGGUACAUCAUGAGGACGACUCUGUGCAAGAUACUUUGGAGUUGAUUGCAUUUAGUACUUCGCGUCUUACCCAUGACACAGCGUUGCUGUGACCAAGUGAGCUAUCUCCCCAUAAAGUUUCACAGUGGAUUGGGAAAACAAAUUUUUGAAAAGCCUUGGAUAUAAAGUUGGUACCCCGCCUUCUUGGGAGAACCUAAAUGAUCCCAUAGCAAUAUUCAAAGCAGAACUGUGAAGUGUUGCAAACAAAAUCUGUCCUUCAGACAGAAAUAAAACCAUUGUCUGAUCAUCAUCGCUUUGCUGUUCAUGUAAUCCUACAAUGUCUUAAAUGACUGAUAUUUCCUUCAUGUCAUCAGUGACUACUGCGAUAUAAGUUGUAUAAUAACUGCAUUUUUAAGACCUUCAUUACUUUUAUCAUUUUUAGUUUGGAGCUGUUAACUGAGAGCUGAAGGUGACAUUAAGUAAACAGCUUUUUUUUUAAAAAAGAGAAUAAAUGAACUGCUAUUUAGGCCUGGAAGCUAAUUACAAGAAGCUGUUUGUAUGCAUGUUUUCAGGAAACUAAGUAAACUUCAAUCCCAUAUGCCUGAGAGAUUAUGGAUCAUGGAGUCUGUUUAAGUGAACUGGUAAGAAGCAGAUUGAAAUCCAUCUGAAAUCCAUCAGUUUUGGGAAUUUUCUUUUAAGUAGGUCAGAAAAUCAUUUGGACAGUGAUCUUAGUGCAUCAGUUCCAAGAAGACCUGUGAUUGCAGUUAAGAGCCUGGAGACCCCCUGUGGUGUGAAUGGAUAAAAUUUCUGUAUCAAUGGACAAGGAAACAGCCAACACUUCAAAAGGGAAAUGAAUGUUCUAUACUUGGUCUUUUCGAUACACUGUUUAAUCUGCUUUGAAGCAUCAAAACCGUUUUGUCUGUUAGGACCGAACAUUAAAAUGGGAUAGAAGAGUUGUCUGCCAAAAACAUCCUCUUUAUUUUGCCGAGAAAUAUAUUAUCUCAACACCUUCCCGAGGUGGCUCAUCAAAUUAUGACAAUACCAGCUUAGUCUUCUCAUUUUCCUUGGCAGAUCUGUCAAACAAAAUGCAUGGUAUAGAUUAAAUUUGAAAUAUC
Rhincodon typus (whale shark) is the source of this 1272-nucleotide long non-coding RNA. RefSeq lists it as uncharacterized. The record is from RefSeq and is a predicted model, not a curated record. NCBI's taxonomy places the organism in Eukaryota, Metazoa, Chordata, Chondrichthyes, Orectolobiformes, Rhincodontidae. The transcript has 4 exons.